Molecule: long non-coding RNA, 677 nt
Organism: Papaver somniferum (opium poppy)
Lineage: Eukaryota; Viridiplantae; Streptophyta; Magnoliopsida; Ranunculales; Papaveraceae
Exons: 2
Source: RefSeq, a predicted model, not a curated record
UCUCCUCUUCUUCCCAAAUUUGCAGAACUCUGCAAAUUCCUCACCUCCAUGUCCACUGCCACCAUCACCUUCACUCCAUACCCCGACCAUCAUAGGAGAAGCUCGUGUAGCCCCUAGUCUCUCUAUCUCGGUUAGAGCUUCCCCUUAGAUGCUACAACCAAGAGAGACAGACUAGGGUUCACAGUGCAGAGAAGACGAAGGCUUAGAGAUUUCGAGUAAAUAGCAGCAUGGAUCAAGCUUGGUGUGUCGAUGAAGGACAAGGAGACAACAAAUCAGAGGAAAAUGGUCCUGCUGCUGCUUUGCUUGCUUGCUUCCUUGAGCUGUUGCUUGCUGCCUUGCCUGCUCUGCUGUAACUGCUGCCCUGCUGCUGAGCCUUGUUGUUGCUGCUGCUGAGCCUUGUUGCUGCUGAGCCUACUUCUGAAGCUAGAUCAAAGCCCAUCUGGGCUGUGCAACAAGAAAAAAGGGUAAAAGCCCAACUGGGCUUCCCUCUAAAAAGCUAAGCCUAAACCCAUCACUAUUUUGUGGGCUUUUGUUUUUAAAGUUUUUAUUUUUGGGCUUGUAAUUAAUUUCAUUAUUUGUGGGCCUGUUUAAACACCCACCUGGGCUUGUAAUUCAAAAGAAUAACUUAUUAGCUGGGCUCAAGCCCACUGAACAUAGCCUCGGGCCUGUUUCCUUCC